Molecule: ribosomal RNA, 1337 nt
Filed under: Khawkinea quartana
Lineage: Eukaryota; Euglenozoa; Euglenophyceae; Euglenales; Euglenaceae
Description: Euglena quartana partial large subunit ribosomal RNA
Rfam family: Eukaryotic large subunit ribosomal RNA
Source: RNAcentral
AGGAAGUGCAAGCAACUGCGAUUGCUGCAGUAACGGCGAGUGAACGGGCAAAGGACAUGGCUCACCCUGAAUGGGGAAUCCCAAUCGGCUAUUGUUGGAUCUCGGCACAUGCUGUGGGCUGUGGAGUGGAUGGUAUGUGUGCGCUGGUGGACCACAGCGCCAGGAAGAGAACCCUGGAACGGGUCGCGACAGAGGGCUACGGCCCCGUACUCAAAGUGUGAUGUGCGCUGUGGCUCCGCCAGUGUGCCGCUGUCCACAUCCAGGAGUAGAGUGGCUUGGGACUGCAGUUUGAAGUGCGAUGUGUAUCCAUCGCAAGGAAGCAUACAGACCUGGGACCGAUAGCGCACAAGUAGAGUGAUCGAAGGAUGCAAAGAACUCCGCAAAGAGGGUUAAAAGUCCCUGAAGCCUCGACAGGGACGGCGGUGGGCAGUGCUGUGGUGAAGAAUCAUCACGACAACUCCAAGCGACCUUGGGCCAGCCCUGGACUGGUCAACUGAGCCUGCGGAUGACCGUGAACUCGUUUUCAGGCAGACGUGGAUGCAAUCGUGUGGCAGUCUGACAUUGUUUGAAAGGUGGCAACCGGCCUUGCCAGGGCCCAAGGGGAAAGAAGACGAAGAAGAAGCUGACGAGACGAGACGAGACGAGACGAGGAGAGAAACUCUCUCUCUCUCUCUCUCUCACUCACUCACUCUGKUGUGCUGGAUUACGACACGAGACGCAACACACUGUGUGCUAGCAGCUGUGUUUGUGUCUGUGUCAAUCACCGUGGCCUCAAUGCCUGGAACAUCUCUCUUCUGAGAUGGGGUCGUGACUGUUCGGAGACAGCACCACGUUCACUUGAUGGUGGUCACUGAGCCUGGUUUGGUCGAUCCCCCAVCUGGGGUCUGGUGUGCUGGAGACACGCGUUGUCUGAGGCUUGGGGAAGAGCACACACCAUGUGUGCUGUGGAUUCAGUGCUGCCCCCUGCCCGUCUUGAAACACGGACCAAGGAGUCUAUGGGGCUUGCGCAAGUCACAAGGUGCACAGUUCGUCUCGAGCUGAUGUGUGCCAGACCGAAGUGCGAAGUGAAGGCGACACCGUUGCUCUGUCAAAAGAGAUCCAGAUUGGGGUGUAACAUCAACCCGGUGUGAUAUGCAUGGAUUCGACCGGGCCCGAAGUCCAGUGGACAGGGUUUCGAGUGCUUGCAAGAUCCCAUGGGACCCGAAAGGUGGUGAACUAUACCAUUCGACGACGAAGCCAUGGGAAACUGUGGUGGAGGUCGGUCGCUGUUCUGACGUGCAAAUCGUGUAGCCUGAGAGUGGCAUAGGGGUGAAAGGCCAAUCGAGCCACCUAGUAGC